This 424-nucleotide ribosomal RNA is filed under the name Leptodactylus knudseni group sp. ABGD cluster 33. RNAcentral's name for it is "partial large subunit ribosomal RNA". It matches the Rfam family "Bacterial large subunit ribosomal RNA", at positions 1834 to 2457 of the family's 2925-position model. Lineage: Eukaryota; Metazoa; Chordata; Amphibia; Anura; Leptodactylidae. The record is from RNAcentral.
CUUGCACACCUAUAAGAGGUCCAGCCUGCCCAGUGACUCUGUUCAACGGCCGCGGUAUCCUAACCGUGCGAAGGUAGCGUAAUCACUUGUUCUUUAAAUGAGGACUAGUAUGAAUGGCACCACGAAGGUUAUACUGUCUCCUCUCCCUAAUCAGUGAAACUGAUCUCCCCGUGAAGAAGCGGGGAUAAACAUAUAAGACGAGAAGACCCUAUGGAGCUUUAAACUAAGAAUCAACUGCCUUUCCACCUUCAAAUUCCAGAAAACUAACUUCUACCAAGACACUCUGAUUUCUAGUUUUAGGUUGGGGUGACCACGGAGCAAAAACUAACCUCCGCAAUGAACAGGGAUCUUCCCUUAACCAAGGACCACAAUCCUAAGAAUCAACACAUUGACAUUAAUUGACCCAAAAAUUUGAUCAAUGAAC